Molecule: non-coding RNA, 1263 nt
Organism: Ictidomys tridecemlineatus (thirteen-lined ground squirrel)
Lineage: Eukaryota; Metazoa; Chordata; Mammalia; Rodentia; Sciuridae
Source: RefSeq, a predicted model, not a curated record
GAAUGAUGUAAAAGAACUUAAUGAUGUCAAUUCCUUAAGCAACCAACUUCACAUAAAUAUGAAACAGCCCAGAAUUUGACAAGAGAAAUAUUACAACAAGGAAGAUAUCCACAGUGAGAGCGAAAUGAAGGAAUUUCACCUUAUAAAAGCGUCAAGAAAGGAUCCUACACUGAAAGAGGAUAAGGUUAAGGUUGCCAGGGAAACCAUCAUAAACACCAAGAAAUGAAACCCCAUCCUGACAGGCCACAGAACACUCAGCAUCCCAGGAUUGGGCCUGGGAUUCCCAAGGUGGCCCUGCAGCAAGGGGCUGGUGCAUACAAGAGGGAACAGGCUGCGGUGUCCGCGACAGGACGGGCCGCCUCCCCUUUACAAGUGAUUACAUUCACCCACACCGGGUGGCCAUCCAAAGGCUUGGAAGGGCAGCCUGGAUGGGAUUUAUCUCCAAUCCUUCUAACCAAGUCCUGGCUAUAACAAAAGAAGGCCACGAGCAAAACAGCUCAGGGGGCAAGGAAAUGCCCACCUCAUUUACUCGCGUAUUUUUUCAUUUUCCAGAUAUCUACUUGAUGAGACCUUGUGCUAGACUGACGCACUGUGGUCAAUGUGAAGUUCUAAAUUCACAGAUUCCUGGCCUGGCACCCAUGGAUCCCCAGAAGUUUUACAAACAAACUCCAGAAGCUCUGGAAACUUAAAACUGUACAGGAAAUUUCGUACACAAGGGCAUAUUUUUCUUCUUGGGGAAAAGUCUUCCAAAGGAUUUUCGACAUUACGUAUGACAUUUUUAAAAAUGUAUUCUGAGAAAAAAGAGAAGGAAAUCUGCAAGGGAUUCUCUUUCCCUGUUUAUGAUGUGGCUGAUGAUAUGGUUUGGUAGAUUUGUUUGGUUCUGAAAUGAAAUAACUAGAGCUGUAUUCACGGAUGGAUCGAUUUCUCUCUAGCUGAUUAAAUACGUCAACAGGGACAAAGCACUCACAGACGUCAUUGCUAAAAUUUCUUAGAUGUCUCCACCUGAAGCCGUGACACACUUAUAACUCUGAACAUAUCGGGAGCAUCUGCAUUAACUGCAGUGGCCACUUCCUAGGUUCUAAGGAGCGUGGCAGAAAAUGAGCCCGUUACUCUGAGAGGCAAAAAGCCUUGGAUCCUAAGACCUCACCAGGAUAACCUACUCCCAAGGCACUAGGCAAUGUGAAGAGAAUGAAGAAAUAUCUCAUUUCAAACAGAAAAAAAAAAAGAAGCAACUGGAAUGAAAAGCUAUAAACAAUAGGUAAG